CCUACGGGAGGCAGCAGUAGGGAAUCUUCCACAAUGGGCGAAAGCCUGAUGGAGCAACGCCGCGUGGGUGAAGAAGGUCUUCGGAUCGUAAAACCCUGUUGUUAGAGAAGAAAGUGCGUGAGCGUAACUGUUCACGUUUCGACGGUAUCUAACCAGAAAGCCACGGCUAACUACGUGCCAGCAGCCGCGGUAAUACGUAGGUGGCAAGCGUUAUCCGGAUUUAUUGGGCGUAAAGGGAACGCAGGCGGUCUUUUAAGUCUGAUGUGAAAGCUUUCGGUUUACCCGGAGUAGUGCAUUGGAAACUGGGAGACUUGAGUGCAGAAGAGGAGAGUGGAACUCCAUGUGUAGCGGUGAAAUGCGUAGAUAUAUGGAAGAACACCAGUGGCGAAAGCGGCUCUCUGGUCUGUAACUGACGCUGAGGUUCGAAAGCGUGGGUAGCAAACAGGAUUAGAUACCCUGGUAGUC
This 465-nucleotide ribosomal RNA is filed under the name uncultured bacterium. Its description in RNAcentral is "partial 16S ribosomal RNA". It matches the Rfam family "Bacterial small subunit ribosomal RNA", at positions 338 to 795 of the family's 1533-position model. The record is from RNAcentral.